Molecule: ribosomal RNA, 500 nt
Filed under: uncultured bacterium
Lineage: Bacteria
Description: bacterial SSU rRNA
Rfam family: Bacterial small subunit ribosomal RNA
Source: RNAcentral
GUAAAACUCUGUUAUUAGGGAAGAACAAAUGUGUAAGUAACUAUGCACGUCUUGACGGUACCUAAUCAGAAAGCCACGGCUAACUACGUGCCAGCAGCCGCGGUAAUACGUAGGUGGCGAGCGUUAUCCGGAAUUAUUGGGCGUAAAGCGCGCGUAGGCGGUUUUUUAAGUCUGAUGUGAAAGCCCACGGCUCAACCGUGGAGGGUCAUUGGAAACUGGAAAACUUGAGUGCAGAAGAGGAAAGUGGAAUUCCAUGUGUAGCGGUGAAAUGCGCAGAGAUAUGGAGGAACACCAGUGGCGAAGGCGACUUUCUGGUCUGUAACUGACGCUGAUGUGCGAAAGCGUGGGGAUCAAACAGGAUUAGAUACCCUGGUAGUCCACGCCGUAAACGAGGAGUGCUAAGUGUUAGGGGGUUUCCGCCCCUUAGUGCUGCAGCUAACGCAUUAAGCACUCCGCCUGGGGAGUACGACCGCAAGGUUGAAACUCAAAGGAAUUGACGG